Molecule: non-coding RNA, 432 nt
Filed under: Pongo abelii (Sumatran orangutan)
Lineage: Eukaryota; Metazoa; Chordata; Mammalia; Primates; Hominidae
Source: RNAcentral
ACAAAACCCGGAAGGACCCAGCCGAAGGUUUUCUCCGGUUCGGGCAAGAGACGGGGUCCCGCUCUGUCACCCAGGCUGCCAGACUGGCGUACAGUGGUGCAAUCUCAGCUCACUGCAACCUGCACCUCCUGGGUUCAAGUGAUUUUCUUGUCUCUGCCUCCUGAGUAGCUGGGAUUACUGGCACACACCACCAUGCACUGUUCCUUGUUCAAAAUGCCAAGAACCUGGAUGACUCAGAGUCAAGACCCUCCACCAGUAACAUAUAUUGGCGAGCCAGCCAGGAGCUUGGAACCCUCGGUGGACAGUGCCUAAGCACAGAGGCAACCACAGGUUUCUAACCAGGGCCACUCUCCGGUGAAACUGAAAGGUUUCUGUGUGAAAGUGCCUGACCACCACUGCCCGGUUCGGACCACUACAGGAAACACUCCAUUU